UAUCUGCAGCAACCACAUCUUUGUCUUUUUGCUGUCCGAGACAUUAAACCAGGAGAAGAGAUUACUUACAGCUAUGGAGACUGGGAUUGGCAAGCCAAGCGUUCAUCACCUGCUCCUGUGACUGCUACAUCAUCCUCAUCCUCAUCCUCACCUGUGAGGAAAAGUUCAUCACCUGCCCCUGUUACUGCUACAUCAUCCUCAUCCUCAUCUGUGAGGAAAAGUUCAUCACCUGCCCCUGUGACUGCUACAUCAUCCUCAUCCUCAACUGUGAGGAAACGUUCAUCACCUGCCCCUGUGACUGCUACAUCAUCCUCAUCCUCACCUGUGAGGAAAAGUUCAUCACCUGCCCCUGUGACUGCUACAUCAUCCUCAUCCUCACCUGUGAGGAAACGUUCAUCACCUGCCCCUGUGACUGCUACAUCAUCCUCAUCCUCACCUGUGAGGAAAAGUUCAUCAUCUGCCCCUGUGACUGCUACAUCAUCCUCAUCCUCACCUGUGAGGAAACGUUCAUCACCUACCCCUGUGACUGCUACAUCAUCCUCAUCCUCACCUGUGAGGCAGCGUUCAUCAUCUGCCCCUGUUACUGCUACAUCAUCCUCAUCCUCAUCCUCACCUGUGAGGAAAAGUUCAUCACCUGCUCGUGUGACUGCUACAUCAUCUUCAUCCUCACCUGUGAGGAAAAGUUCAUCACCUGCCCCUGUGACUGCUACAUCAUCCUCAUCCUCACCUGUGAGGAAAAGUUCAUCACCUGCCCCUGUGACUGCUACAUCAUCCUCAUCCUCACCUGUGAGGAAACGUUCAUCACCUGCUCCUGUUACUGCUACAUCAUCCUCAUCCUCACCUGUGAGGAAAAGUUCAUCACCUGCCCCUGUGACUGCUACAUCAUCCUCAUCCUCACCUGUGAGGCAGCGUUCAUCAAGAAAAAGACAGGUAUUCGAGUCAUCUGAUGCACCCUGUGCUAUGUGUACCUCUGUAAAGGCAUCACCACCCUCUCGCCCUUCUUCACUCCCUUCAUCAUCAUCAUCAUCAGCUGCCCCUGUGAUGGGCACAUCAUCUUCAUCCUCCCCAUCAUCACCUGCCCCUUUGCCCUGUGAUGCAUCCACUUCUGUGAUCUCUCCAUCACAGGUGUCCCAGACACUCUCAAUAAGGGAGGUUCAUCAAUCCCUUCAAAAAGAAAAUGGGAGGACUCUGAGGUAA
Long non-coding RNA from Cyprinus carpio carpio, 1197 nucleotides. Lineage: Eukaryota; Metazoa; Chordata; Actinopteri; Cypriniformes; Cyprinidae. The record is from Ensembl.